Molecule: ribosomal RNA, 166 nt
Filed under: uncultured bacterium
Lineage: Bacteria
Description: partial 16S rRNA
Rfam family: Bacterial small subunit ribosomal RNA
Source: RNAcentral
GUAGGGGAAUCUUCCACAAUGGACGCAAGUCUGAUGGAGCAACGCCGCGUGAGUGAAGAAGGUCUUCGGAUCGUAAAACUCUGUUGUUAGAGAAGAACACGAGUGAGAGUAACUGUUCAUUCGAUGACGGUAUCUAACCAGCAAGUCACGGCUAACUACGUGCCAG